UUUAGCAGCCAUAUCACCCUGCAACUCACAACUGGCAACCCAAUGAAGCCCAGCAGGUGUGAGCCUGGCCAGUACCUGGAUGGGAGACCUCCUGGGAAAAACUAAGGUUGCUGCUGGAA
Molecule: ribosomal RNA, 119 nt
Filed under: Lepisosteus oculatus (spotted gar)
Lineage: Eukaryota; Metazoa; Chordata; Actinopteri; Semionotiformes; Lepisosteidae
Source: RNAcentral